GGAAGUAAGAGUCGUAACAAGGUUUCCGUAGGUGAACCUGCGGAAGGAUCAUUAUUGGAUUUUGAAACUUCAGGCUGCUGCUGGCUCUCCUCGGAGGGCAUGUGCACGCUUGUUGUCCAUUAUUCCUCCCACUGUGCACAAAUUGUAGACCUUUCAGUAGGCCUAUGUUGUUUUUCACAAUCUCUGAAUGUAAUAGAAUGGUUUUGAAUCUUGGGAAAUACAAUACAACUUUCAGCAACGGAUCUCUUGGCUCUC
Molecule: unclassified non-coding RNA, 255 nt
Filed under: plant metagenome
Description: partial contains small subunit ribosomal RNA, internal transcribed spacer 1, and 5.8S ribosomal RNA
Rfam family: Eukaryotic small subunit ribosomal RNA (bases 1-54)
Source: RNAcentral